This 345-nucleotide unclassified non-coding RNA is filed under the name Human mastadenovirus C. Lineage: Varidnaviria; Bamfordvirae; Preplasmiviricota; Pharingeaviricetes; Rowavirales; Adenoviridae. The record is from RNAcentral.
AGACCGUGCAAAAGGAGAGCCUGUAAGCGGGCACUCUUCCGUGGUCUGGUGGAUAAAUUCGCAAGGGUAUCAUGGCGGACGACCGGGGUUCGAACCCCGGAUCCGGCCGUCCGCCGUGAUCCAUGCGGUUACCGCCCGCGUGUCGAACCCAGGUGUGCGACGUCAGACAACGGGGGAGCGCUCCUUUUGGCUUCCUUCCAGGCGCGGCGGCUGCUGCGCUAGCUUUUUUGGCCACUGGCCGCGCGCGGCGUAAGCGGUUAGGCUGGAAAGCGAAAGCAUUAAGUGGCUCGCUCCCUGUAGCCGGAGGGUUAUUUUCCAAGGGUUGAGUCGCGGGACCCCCGGUUC